Molecule: transfer RNA, 74 nt
Filed under: Paracoccaceae bacterium
Lineage: Bacteria; Pseudomonadati; Pseudomonadota; Alphaproteobacteria; Rhodobacterales; Paracoccaceae
Also listed under: 8 other names
Description: Rhodobacteraceae bacterium tRNA-Gly
Rfam family: tRNA
About the family: Transfer RNA (tRNA) molecules are approximately 80 nucleotides in length. Their secondary structure includes four short double-helical elements and three loops (D, anti-codon, and T loops).
Source: RNAcentral
GCGGGUGUAGCUCAAAGGUAGAGCAGCAGCCUUCCAAGCUGAGGACGAGGGUUCGAUUCCCUUCACCCGCUCCA